Small nucleolar RNA from Pocillopora damicornis (cauliflower coral), 218 nucleotides. RefSeq annotates it as small nucleolar RNA U3. The record is from RefSeq and is a predicted model, not a curated record. Lineage: Eukaryota; Metazoa; Cnidaria; Anthozoa; Scleractinia; Pocilloporidae.
AUGACCGAACUUAAUGGGAUCUUUUCUAUAGUACGUGUCCCAUCUUUGAAACCAAACAAAGACAACACCAUCAACUGUGAUGAUGAUGUGUAGCGUUUAUCUCUAAGCGCGAAGCACAUCGCCGACCCUGUCUCUCAUGGCAACUGGUUAGUGACGAUUGAUGACCGUUCCUCUCCCCAUGGUGGGUAGUUUGAGGAGGUGAUCGUAUUCAGAGCGGU